UACUUUGAAUUUCUGCCUUUUAUUUCUUGAUUAUUGUAUUUGAAAUAUUAUAAAUCAUUUCCCAAAUAAUAGUUGGUCGGAGACAAAAACGGCUGUAUUCUAGUUACAUAGAAUAGACUGUUGUAGGAACCUUAUGAUUCUUCUGUAUUCGUACUCGGAUUUUUUUAGGCAUAGACACCGAGUACAUACUGUAUAUAUAUACCAUACACAACUGGCCUAUACUUAUGCACAUUUAACAUAUGUAUGUAUAUCUUAAGUGAAGCCAACAAAUCUCUUAAUGAAGGUAAACUUGUUUGUUGUGUGGAUGUGUGAAAACACACAUAUAAUAAUGAAAGCAAAAUAGAGAGAAAAACUGUAAAAUAAAUAUUAAAAACGCUGAUCGAGCGUGAAAUAUAGCCAAACAUUCAUUGUGUAUAUAUGUAUGUAUACAUACAGUGGCAAAUUUAAUUUUGACUUCUGCCAUCAAACAAUUUUAUUCUAAAAUAGAACGAAGGCAAACAAAUUAAGUGGGUGUGUAGUUAAUUUGAAGAAGUAAAAUAUAAAAUUUGAAGUAUACAUACAUAUGUAUGUGCAUAAGUAAAUAAAUUAAUUUAAGGUGUGUAAGCGGUCACAAAAUAUCAACCAAUUUUGAAGAAAGCAAGUGAUCAUUAUUUAGUAAGUAAGAAUAACUUGUAUAUAUGGUUUUGGCAUUACUAUAGUGUUUCCGAAUUAUCAAAGCGACAUAUGUAUAUAUGAAUGUCAGGUGAUACACAUUUACAUCAAAUUAGGGUGUUCGAUAAUUUUUUAAUUUCUCUUUAAAGAGAAACAAAGUUCAUGGUUUAUUUUAUGUAAAAUGGUUCCCUGAAAUAAACUGCUUUUACGGAUAAUUAUGCUUAAUAUGAAAGUUAGAAGUAAUGAUAAUAAGGGUGUUUUUUUCGAGGUAUACUCGUAGAACUUUAAGUUGGCAUUACUGUUCAAGAUGGCGACCGAUUUAACAGCUGUCAACAUAACAUAAUGGUUUUGUGCGAAAUACGUAUCGCGCACUACGUUCAUUUUAUCGUCGAGCGCACUUCUGGUUGAAUGGCUACGUCAACAAACAAAACUGCCACAUUUGGAGAGAAGCUAAUUCUCAAGUGUAUGUCGAAACACUGUUACAUCCAGAAAAACUGACUGGUGCGCUUUAUGGGCUGGUGGAAUCAAUGGUCCGUACUUCUUCAAAAACGAUGAUGGCCAGAACGUUACAGUCAAUGGUGAUCGAUAUAGAGCCAAGAUUACUAACUUUUUCAUUCCUGAAUUGAACAACCAUGAUGUUCAGGAGCUGUGGUUCCGACAAGACGGCGCAACAUGUCACACAGCUCGUGCCACAAUCGAUUUAUUGAAAGACACGGUUUGGACCUUUGAAUUGGCCUCCAAGAUCUUGUGAUUUAACACCGCUAUACUACUAUCUGUGGGGUUGUGUAAACUCAUUGGUCUAUGCGCAUAAGCCAUAAACGCUUAACCAUUUGGAAAACAACAUUCGCCGUGUUAUUGCGAAUGUUGGAAAAAGUCAUCGAAAAUUAGACGUCCAGAUUGGACUACAUCCGAGCCAGCCGUGGCGGUCAUAUGCCAGAAAUCAUAUUUAAAAUGUAAUGCCACAAGAUUAUCUUUCGGCUAAAUAAAAUCCAUGUCAAUCGAAUAAACCAUCGUUGUUUUAUCGCAAUUUAAAGUUCAAUAACUCUAAAAAAACACCCGUUAUAAACCCAGAAAUGAUAUAUGACAUUAUUAGAAAGACUCUGCUAAGGACAGACAUUGUAACAUCAGAAAAUUCACCCACGUGGCUAAGAAGUCGGAAGUGAUUUCAAAUUAAGGUCACAUAAGCAGGAAAAGCAAAUGUUUCAACAAUAAGCGGGACAGUCACGUUUUAUUUUUGUUAUUAUUUUCAAAUUUAUAAAUGACAUACUUAGUGUGAAUUAAAAAUAAAUCUUCCUUUAAUCCUUUAAAAAUAACAUAUUACAAUAAAAUACAUUCUAAAAUUUAGCUGUUCUGUUCAAUAUGUUUAUUUUUAAACGCGUUUUUCUCAAAACUACUUUUUCAAGUACGUUUGAGUGAUUUACGCAGAGACGAAUGAUUCGAUCACUAUAAAAUUUUUCUGAAUGUUCGGUAUAUAAUUCACUCUAAAUUGGCAAUUUUAUUAAACUGAUCAAAAAUCGAAUUUUGCCAGGAUAAAAUGACUACAAUUUUGGUUAAACUUCAAUUGUUUUAAACGAUGCCAUUUUGCCAAUUUUUGAUUUUUUUCGAACGUAGAUCAUUGUCCAUACAAGUAGGCGUCAUCCUCGGAGAAAGUAUACGGUAUAGCGUCACACUAGAUGAAUCCCUUAAUUAUUAGACUAUUAUUUAACAAAAAACAAGUGACUUCAAAUUAAUUUUUUUAAUUAAUUGGCUGCUAUUAAAUAUGCAUUAAGAUAUUUAAUAAAUAGAAUUGAAAAAUCUAUUUAAAUAUUAGACUCGCGAAAUUGAAAUUGCUAAAAACUACAUAUUUAAAGUAUGCGUUAUAAUUUGAAAGUUAAAUGAUGACAACUAACUCAUAAAACCAGACAAUUAUUAUAGUGAAUUGCUACAACACAAUUAAUUCGAUCGACAGUCAAAAUCUCUUCUCAACCCUAAUGUAAGAUGCAGCCACAUGCAACAUAUAAUAUUUAUAAUAGCCAAGUCGAAAGAACAUUAACUAGCCAAUGUAGAAAAACAAAUUUAUGUACACACGCAUAAAUAUGCAUACAUAUUUGUUGGUGUGCACCGUAAACUGUAAGUAUGGCGGCAUUUAAAUGCGGGUAACGCUGCAGGUCAACAUUGCCGACUAUGGUACUACUAUAUUAUAUUAGAGACACGUUGUGUUAUGUACAUAUAUACAUAUGUACGAACGACUAAAUUCCUUUGCGCGAUGGUUUGAGAAGAAAAUGCGAAAAGUACUCCAUAAGCAAAUACUUGUAAACAAACAAUAUCAAAAGUAGGACUAAUGAAAUAUGGCAUUGAACACAAAUUAGUUUAGUGUGCAUAGGCACAAAGGACAACAGUGAAAAUACGAGACAUUAAAAAUAAAAUACAAAUACUAAAAAAAAUUUAACUAGUGGAGGCGAUGGUGGAACGCCUACCAAUACUAAAAGUGUAUAGAAGUACAUACCUAACCCAAAAAUAUUGAUGCAUAAGUGGUGUCAUCAGCUGUGAAAACUGAAAACUUUUAGCACAUCUUUCAGCGAGUGUGUGCACAAAGGAUGAGGAUUAAAAAUUAUUUCGUCGAAAAAAUUGCGGCUUAAUUUCAACGUCGCCAGCGGAGUGCGUUGCGCGGUAAAAACCCAAUGUGGACAAUUGAAAAGGGAAACUUUUAUAAUACUUAUAUUUUGAGUGUAUCGAGUAUUUAUCAGAGCUGUAAAGUUAACAUUUUCACGGUGCCCUAAUCGCAGAUUUACUACGAAUCCACCGUCUGAAGCAUACCUUUUGCGUUAUUUAAUCCUAGAAAAAUUAUUAAUUGUAUUAUUGACAAAGUAAAGGCGCAUUAUAUUUGCACCAAACUGUAUUAUUUUAAGGUUAUAAUUAAGAAGUUUGUUAAUUUGUCAUCCUUUUGCUUCAACAGGUCUAUUAACUUGCGAGCAUAUCAAAUCUUUAUGCACAUAAGGACCAGAAACAAAUUCACAGCAGUUAAAGUAGCAAAUCAAUAUUUCUAUUGCUAAACCUAACCUUUUUGAUUAUUCGAUUCAGUAACAUUUAAAGAGUGGCGAAUCGAAGAAAAAACCGGCAAAAAAUAAAGAGAGAUAUUUAAUUUUUAUUGCUUGCGAAGAGCAAUGAAAUAAAUCUCAACCAGCGAUUGUGUGGAGGAAACGGCGUAUAAUCAAUCUUUUUGCUAUUGAAACACAAAAUAUUGUAUUUUCCGGACAAAAUCUUUCUGCUAGCGAAGCGCACCAAAAUAAAACAACGAACGUACUGAAGAAUGACUGAAUGAAACAAAGAAAUUUCGCUCAUAGUCGUACUACGCAGUGUUGGGGACGACUGGAGCCUAACCCCAAUUCAAGUCAAUUGAGUAAAUUUACUGUUCGAGCGCCAAACCAAGCAAAUCGAACAAUAGCCAACAGCGCCAAGAGCGUAUUGGACCGCAAGAAAGAGCGCAAGUGCGAGAAGAUUGCGAGAGACGCACUGCCAUGUGCAUAUGGAAGUGUAUGUGUGUGUAUGUACUCACAUACGUAUGGAACAUUAAAAAACGCUGGCGAAAGAAAAGAUGCAUCGUAAACUCGGUUUUAAAAAAAAAUGUAUAAAUAAUAGAAAAUAUGUGGGUAAUAUAAACACACAAAAGACUGUGCAAACAAUAAGUACCCGUAUAAUCGUACCCGUGUACUCAUAUAAACCACUAUAAACGUAAUGAUGAUGAAAGAAGCAACGUGAAGCAGAGACAUGGGGCGGCGUAUGACAUAUUAUUCAUUUGCCUAAUAUGAUUUUUCGCAACAAAGAUAAAAACUUGCAUGCAAAUAUGUUUUGAAGACAAAGCAAAUAUGCAUAUGCAUAUAGUAAAUGCACAGGUAUAUAUUUUAAGUAUAUGGCAACACGUAAAGCUUUAUUGCAUCUUCAGCGUCUUAUUGUCAACUGCGAAAUAAUGAAAACGUCGUGUUAUGAAGAGUCAAAAGACAAAGUCGCAAACGUAAAGAGCAAACGAAAUGUCAUGAGAGAUGGUGGCAAGGCGCAGGAAAAAAAAAACAGAAAAUGAAAAGCUACAUGCAUACCGUACACACACACACACACGUGCAGCUUGGCUGAAUUUGAUGUGCAAAGAGUAGAAGUCAAAACAAAUACUAAUAAAAAUAAAUAGUUUACAAAAAAAAAAACAAAAAAUACUAGAUAUUACAAACA
Bactrocera oleae (olive fruit fly) is the source of this 4851-nucleotide long non-coding RNA. RefSeq lists it as uncharacterized. The record is from RefSeq and is a predicted model, not a curated record. NCBI's taxonomy places the organism in Eukaryota, Metazoa, Arthropoda, Insecta, Diptera, Tephritidae.